Molecule: ribosomal RNA, 584 nt
Filed under: uncultured bacterium
Lineage: Bacteria
Description: partial 16S ribosomal RNA
Rfam family: Bacterial small subunit ribosomal RNA
Source: RNAcentral
UGGGGAAUUUUGGACAAUGGGCGAAAGCCUGAUCCAGCAAUGCCGCGUAUGUGAAGAAGGCCUUCGGGUUGUAAACACUUUUGUCCGGAAAGAAAUCCUUGGCUCUAAUACAGUCGGGGGAUGACGGUACCGGAAGAAUAAGCACCGGCUAACUACGUGCCAGCAGCCGCGGUAAUACGUAGGGUGCAAGCGUUAAUCGGAAUUACUGGGCGUAAAGCGUGCGCAGGCGGUUUGCUAAGACCGAUGUGAAAUCCCCGGGCUCAACCUGGGAACUGCAUUGGUGACUGGCAGGCUAGAGUAUGGCAGAGGGGGGUAGAAUUCCACGUGUAGCAGUGAAAUGCGUAGAGAUGUGGAGGAAUACCGAUGGCGAAGGCAGCCCCCUGGGCCAAUACUGACGCUCAUGCACGAAAGCGUGGGGAGCAAACAGGAUUAGAUACCCUGGUAGUCCACGCCCUAAACGAUGUCAACUAGUUGUUGGGGAUUCAUUUCCUUAGUAACGUAGCUAACGCGUGAAGUUGACCGCCUGGGGAGUACGGUCGCAAGAUUAAAACUCAAAUGAAUUGACGGGGUCAUAGCUGUUUCCU